Molecule: ribosomal RNA, 483 nt
Filed under: uncultured bacterium
Lineage: Bacteria
Description: partial 16S ribosomal RNA
Rfam family: Bacterial small subunit ribosomal RNA
Source: RNAcentral
GACGAACGCUGGCGGCGUGCUUAACACAUGCAAGUCGAACGCUGAAGCUCAGCUUUUGUUGGGUGGAUGAGUGGCGAACGGGUGAGUAACACGUGAGUAACCUGCCUCCUUCUUUGGGAUAACGCCCGGAAACGGGUGCUAAUACUGGAUAUUCACUGGUCUUCGCAUGGGGGUUGGUGGAAAGGGUUUUUCUGGUGGGGGAUGGGCUCGCGGCCUAUCAGCUUGUUGGUGGGGUGAUGGCCUACCAAGGCUUUGACGGGUAGCCGGCCUGAGAGGGUGACCGGUCACAUUGGGACUGAGAUACGUCCCAGACUCCUACGGGAGGCAGCAGUGGGGAAUAUUGCACAAUGGGCGCAAGCCUGAUGCAGCGACGCCGCGUGAGGGAUGGAGGCCUUCGGGUUGUGAACCUCUUUCGCUCAUGGUCAAGCCGCAACAAUGGUUGUGGUGAGGGUAGUGGGUAAAGAAGCGCCGGCUAACUACGUG